GGACCCGCACAAGUAGUGGAGCAUGUGGUUUAAUUCGAAGAUACGCGCAGAACCUUACCAACACUUGACAUGUUCGUCGCGACUUUAAGAGAUUAAAGUUUUCGGUUCGGCCGGACGAAACACAGGUGCUGCAUGGCUGUCGUCAGCUCGUGUCGUGAGAUGUUGGGUUAAGUCCCCGCAACGAGCGCAACCCUCACUUUUAGUUGCCAUCAUUAAGUUGGGCACUCUGAAAGAACUGCCAGUGAUAAGCUGGAGGAAGGUGGGGAUGACGUCAAGUCCUCAUGGCCCUUACGUGUUGGGCUACACACGUGCUACAAUGGUACUUACAAUGGGAAGCGAAGAGGCGACUCUAAGCUAAUCCCUAAAAUGUGUCUCAGUUCGGAUUGUACUCUGUAACUCGAGUGCAUGAAGCUGGAAUUGCUAGUAAUCGC
Molecule: ribosomal RNA, 431 nt
Filed under: uncultured bacterium
Lineage: Bacteria
Description: bacterial SSU rRNA
Rfam family: Bacterial small subunit ribosomal RNA
Source: RNAcentral